Molecule: ribosomal RNA, 478 nt
Filed under: uncultured bacterium
Lineage: Bacteria
Description: partial 16S ribosomal RNA
Rfam family: Bacterial small subunit ribosomal RNA
Source: RNAcentral
GACGAACGCUGGCGGCGUGCUUAACACAUGCAAGUCGAACGGUAAGGCCCUUCGGGGUACACGAGUGGCGAACGGGUGAGUAACACGUGGGUGAUCUGCCCUGCACUUCGGGAUAAGCCUGGGAAACUGGGUCUAAUACCGGAUAGGACCACUGCCUGCAUGGGUGGUGGUGGAAAGCUUUUGCGGUGUGGGAUGGGCCCGCGGCCUAUCAGCUUGUGGGUGGGGUGAUGGCGUACCAAGGCGACGACGGGUAGCCGGCCUGAGAGGGUGACCGGCCACACUGGGACGGAGAUACUGCCCAGACUCCUACGGGAGGCAGCAGUGGGGAAUAUUGCACAAUGGGCGCAAGCCUGAUGCAGCGACGCCGCGUGAGGGAUGACGGCCUUCGGGUUGUAAACCUCUUUCAGCACCGACGAAGCGCAAGUGACGGUAGGUGCAGAAGAAGGACCGGCCAACUACGUGCCAGCCGCCGCGGUAA